Small nuclear RNA from Cavia porcellus (domestic guinea pig), 107 nucleotides. The record is from Ensembl. NCBI's taxonomy places the organism in Eukaryota, Metazoa, Chordata, Mammalia, Rodentia, Caviidae.
AUGCUUGCUUCAACUGCACACUUACUAAAAUUGAAACAACUCAGAGAAGAUUAGUAUGGCCUGUGCAGAAGGGUGAUACACAAAUUCGUGAAGCAUUCCAUCUUAAA